UUGUCUUUGAAGGCCGUCAGAUGAAACUCUUGGUUUAAUACAUCCCUUGUCAAAAGCAACAAUAUAUCAAGGAAAUCAUGCAACUGUGGGAUUGUCUUUGAAGGCCGUCAGAUGAAACUCUUGGUUUAAUACAUCUCUUGUCAAAAGCAACAAUAUAUCAAGGAAAUCAUGCAACUGUGGAACAGUUUGCAAGAACCAGCGUUGUCUGAAGAUACAUAUGGGAAAGAUGAAAUGCAAGCCAUUUCAGAGCAUAACACAACCCACAGGGCAGCCUGGUGAGACGGAGGAGGAGGUGGUUUAGGAUACAAACCACAGCGACAACAGCGUCCAUGUGUUAUACAAUGAGGAUGAUAGCAUAGUAGAGAGGAAUCGACAGGAACAGGAGGGUUUAGACAAUAACCAGCCAUAAGCGCCAAAAAGAACAUCAGACACAAGCAACAUAAGGAGAAAGAGAUUAAAAUGGCCAAACAAUAAAAGUAAAAGGGAAUUGUAACAGUUUGAAGAAGGGAACGGGAAGAAAGGGUCAGUACAGUUGAAAGCUAGUAAAGAGGAAGUAGAGAAAUGCACAGUACAUGUUUCAAAAAGGGAAGAAGACCUACCGGAGAUAGAACAACUAAUACGCCGGGAAGAUCCAGAGCAGGCUUUUGAUGAAUCACCACCAAAGUUGAGGGAGGAAGUAGAUGUUAUCAAGGAGGAAGGAAGAGCAGCAUCAGCACCAGGUCCAAAUGGAGUACCAUAUAAAGUAUACAAGAACUGUUAGAGAAUUACAAGACGUUUAUGGAAACUGAUUAGGAUCAUAUGGAGAAGAGGUCGACUUGCAGAGAGUUGGCACAAGGCAGACGGGUGCUUUAUACCAAAGGAGAGAGACAUUGAAACAGUUUAGAACAAUCUCACUGUUAAAUGUGGAUUGAAAGAUAUUUCUUGCUAAUCUUGCCAAAAGGAUGACAAACUAUAUGCUGAACAACAACAACAUUGACAUUGCAGUACAAAAAGGGGGGAGACCAGGUGUAUCAAGCUGUAUUGAAC
RNAcentral lists this long non-coding RNA (1026 nucleotides) under Mytilus galloprovincialis (Mediterranean mussel). Lineage: Eukaryota; Metazoa; Mollusca; Bivalvia; Mytilida; Mytilidae. The record is from RNAcentral.